CGUUACGAACGUGACUCAAUACAUUAAAUAGAUUCCUAUCAGAUAAGUAAACUGUUGACGCUUGCUUGUGGCUUGCUCUCGGGUAGGUCAUUGAGUAAGUGGAGGUUUACCUGAUAGUUUGUCAACUGUCAAAGGUUGGCUUUGAUCUGCUUAAUGAGACAAAUUGUGUUUAGCAAAAUGAGAUUGAGCAAUAACAGGUCCGUGAUGCCCUUAGAUGUCCUGGGUUGCACGCGCGCUACAAUGAGACCAUCAACGUGAUACCUGAUCUGAAAGGAUUGGGAAAUCACUUAAAUGUGCUCUUAGUUGGGAUUGUGGAUUGUAAUUAUUCACAUGAACCUGGAAUUCCCAGUAAAUGCUAGUCAUCAGCUAGCGUUGACUAAGUCCCUGCCCUUUGUACACACCGCCCGUCGCUAUUACCGAUUGGUUAUUUAGUGAGGUCUCCGGAGGUAAUCGCCGAAGAUGCUUAGGUAUCAUUAGGUUGUUUUGCCAAAGUUGACCGAACUUGAUGAUUGAGAGGAAAUAAAAGUCGUAACAAGGUUUCCGUAGGUGAACCUGCGGAAGGAUCAUUA
RNAcentral lists this ribosomal RNA (569 nucleotides) under Simulium angulistylum. Its description in RNAcentral is "SSU rRNA". It matches the Rfam family "Eukaryotic small subunit ribosomal RNA", at positions 1326 to 1831 of the family's 1831-position model. The record is from RNAcentral. Lineage: Eukaryota; Metazoa; Arthropoda; Insecta; Diptera; Simuliidae.